Molecule: ribosomal RNA, 253 nt
Filed under: uncultured bacterium
Lineage: Bacteria
Description: partial 16S ribosomal RNA
Rfam family: Bacterial small subunit ribosomal RNA
Source: RNAcentral
UACGUAGGGGGCUAGCGUUGUCCGGAUUUAUUGGACGUAAAGAGCGUGUAGGCGGCCAUGUAGGUCCGGUGUGAAAACUCGAGGCUUAACCUCGAGAUGUCAUCGGAAACCAUUUGGCUAGAGUCCGGAAGAGGAGAGUGGAAUUCCUGGUGUAGCGGUGAAAUGCGCAGAUAUCAGGAAGAACACCAAUGGCGAAAGCAGCUCUCUGGGACGGUACUGACGCUGAGACGCGAAAGCGUGGGGAGCGAACAGG